GAGCGGAUGAAGGGAGCUUGCUCCCUGAUUCAGCGGCGGACGGGUGAGUAAUGCCUAGGAAUCUGCCUGGUAGUGGGGGACAACGUCUCGAAAGGGACGCUAAUACCGCAUACGUCCUACGGGAGAAAGUGGGGGAUCUUCGGACCUCACGCUAUCAGAUGAGCCUAGGUCGGAUUAGCUAGUUGGUGAGGUAAAGGCUCACCAAGGCGACGAUCCGUAACUGGUCUGAGAGGAUGAUCAGUCACACUGGAACUGAGACACGGUCCAGACUCCUACGGGAGGCAGCAGUGGGGAAUAUUGGACAAUGGGCGAAAGCCUGAUCCAGCCAUGCCGCGUGUGUGAAGAAGGUCUUCGGAUUGUAAAGCACUUUAAGUUGGGAGGAAGGGUUGCUGAUUAAUACUCUGCAAUUUUGACGUUACCGACAGAAUAAGCACCGGCUAACUCUGUG
This 448-nucleotide ribosomal RNA is filed under the name uncultured bacterium. RNAcentral describes it as "bacterial SSU rRNA". It matches the Rfam family "Bacterial small subunit ribosomal RNA", at positions 64 to 507 of the family's 1533-position model. The record is from RNAcentral.